Molecule: ribosomal RNA, 497 nt
Filed under: uncultured bacterium
Lineage: Bacteria
Description: partial 16S ribosomal RNA
Rfam family: Bacterial small subunit ribosomal RNA
Source: RNAcentral
GACGAACGCUGGCGGCGUGCCUAAUACAUGUAAGUAGAACGCUGAAGCGAGGAGCUUGCUCUUCUUGGAUGAGUUGCGAACGGGUGAGUAACGCGUAGGUAACCUGCCUUGUAGCGGGGGAUAACUAUUGGAAACGAUAGCUAAUACCGCAUAACAAUGGAUGACACAUGUCAUUUAUUUGAAAGGGGCAAUUGCUCCACUACAAGAUGGACCUGCGUUGUAUUAGCUAGUAGGUGAGGUAAUGGCUCACCUAGGCGACGAUACAUAGCCGACCUGAGAGGGUGAUCGGCCACACUGGGACUGAGACACGGCCCAGACUCCUACGGGAGGCAGCAGUAGGGAAUCCUCGGCAAUGGGGGCAACCCUGACCGAGCAACGCCGCGGGAGUGAAGAAGGUUUUCGGAUCGUAAAGCUCUGUUGUAAGUCAAGAACGGGUGUGAGAGUGGAAAGUUCACACUGUGACGGUAGCUUACCAGAAAGAGACGGCUAACUACGUG